This 253-nucleotide ribosomal RNA is filed under the name uncultured bacterium. RNAcentral describes it as "partial 16S ribosomal RNA". It matches the Rfam family "Bacterial small subunit ribosomal RNA", at positions 524 to 776 of the family's 1533-position model. The record is from RNAcentral.
UACGUAGGGUGCGAGCGUUAAUCGGAAUUACUGGGCGUAAAGCGUGCGCAGGCGGUUCGUUGUGUCUGUGGUGAAAGCCCCGGGCUUAACCUGGGAAUGGCCAUGGAAACUGGCGAGCUGGAGUGUGGCAGAGGGGGGUGGAAUUCCGCGUGUAGCAGUGAAAUGCGUAGAGAUGCGGAGGAACACCGAUGGCGAAGGCAGCCCCCUGGGUUGACACUGACGCUCAGGCACGAAAGCGUGGGGAGCAAACGGG